RNAcentral lists this ribosomal RNA (492 nucleotides) under uncultured bacterium. Its description in RNAcentral is "partial 16S ribosomal RNA". It matches the Rfam family "Bacterial small subunit ribosomal RNA", at positions 28 to 507 of the family's 1533-position model. The record is from RNAcentral.
GAUGAACGCUAGCUACAGGCUUAACACAUGCAAGUCGAGGGGAAACGGCAUUAAGUGCUUGCACUUUUUGGACGUCGACCGGCGCACGGGUGAGUAACGCGUAUCCAACCUUCCCAUGACUAAGGGAUAACCUGCCGAAAGGCAGACUAAUACCUUAUGGUCUUCACUGACGGCAUCAGAUGUGAAGUAAAGAUUUAUCGGUUAUGGAUGGGGAUGCGUCUGAUUAGCUUGUUGGCGGGGUAACGGCCCACCAAGGCAACGAUCAGUAGGGGUUCUGAGAGGAAGGUCCCCCACAUUGGAACUGAGACACGGUCCAAACUCCUACGGGAGGCAGCAGUGAGGAAUAUUGGUCAAUGGGCGAGAGCCUGAACCAGCCAAGUAGCGUGCAGGAGGACGGCCCUAUGGGUUGUAAACUGCUUUUGGAUGGGGAUAAAGUCAAUCACGUGUGAUUGUUUGCAGGUACCAUACGAAUAAGGACCGGCUAAUUCCGUG